RNAcentral lists this ribosomal RNA (307 nucleotides) under uncultured bacterium. RNAcentral describes it as "partial 16S ribosomal RNA". It matches the Rfam family "Bacterial small subunit ribosomal RNA", at positions 506 to 808 of the family's 1533-position model. The record is from RNAcentral.
AGACAGCAGCCGCCGCGGUAAUACGGAGGGUGCAAGCGUUAAUCGGAAUUACUGGGCGUAAAGCGUGCGUAGGCGGUUUGUUAAGUCUGCUGUGAAAUCCCCGGCUCAACCUGGGAAUGGCAGUGGAUACUGGCGAGCUAGAGUGUGUCAGAGGAUGGUGGAAUUCCCGGUGUAGCGGUGAAAUGCGUAGAGAUCGGGAGGAACAUCAGUGGCGAAGGCGGCCAUCUGGGACAACACUGACGCUGAGGCACGAAAGCGUGGGGAGCAAACAGGAUUAGAUACCCCAGUAGUCCCUGUCUCUUAUACA